RNAcentral lists this ribosomal RNA (253 nucleotides) under uncultured bacterium. RNAcentral's name for it is "partial 16S ribosomal RNA". It matches the Rfam family "Bacterial small subunit ribosomal RNA", at positions 524 to 776 of the family's 1533-position model. The record is from RNAcentral.
GACAGAGGAUGCAAGCGUUAUCCGGAAUGAUUGGGCGUAAAGUGUCUGUAGGUGGCUUUUUAAGUCCGCCGUCAAAUCCCAGGGCUCAACCCUGGACAGGCGGUGGAAACUACCAAGCUGGAGUACGGUAGGGGCAGAGGGAAUUUCCGGUGGAGCGGUGAAAUGCGUAGAGAUCAGGAGGAACACCCAUGGCGAAGGCAGCGCUCUGGUCGGCAUCUGACGCUGAGAGGCGAAAGCGUGGGGAGCGAACGGG